This is a long non-coding RNA of Cherax quadricarinatus, 723 nucleotides long. RefSeq lists it as uncharacterized. NCBI's taxonomy places the organism in Eukaryota, Metazoa, Arthropoda, Malacostraca, Decapoda, Parastacidae. The record is from RefSeq and is a predicted model, not a curated record.
GAAAAACCACUAAAAACAAUGGUAAACAAGCGAAAUGUUUGGAUGUAUGAGCAGAAGCUUCCUCAGCCACCGAGAGACAGAGCCUAACUGAAGCGCAAGCUGCCCCAGCCGGUGGAUGGACGCGUCCAAAACGGCCGAUAACCGGGCGCCGAAAAACCUGCCAAUAACCGAGUUGGCCAAUAACCGAACCGGCCGAUAACCGGGGGCCCACUGUAAUUGUAUUUACAUUAAUUCUCACAGGAAAUAUUACUUCGGUUUUUCACCCUUUUCAGAUUUAGGCCGACCUUCUGGAAUGGAUUACGGCCAAAAUCCAGAGUUCCACUGUAUACCCAUUCUUCACUGAUCCAGGAUGAAAACACUUUAACAUGUGAUAAAUCACAUCUGUCAGACACUGCAACAUCAUGGGAUCUUGAUACAAAGAAUUCUUCAACACUUGUCCAACCUUAGGACGAAGACCUACUUCGACUAGUGGUUAUAGUGGAUGGUACCACUAUAACCCCGCUGCCUCCCGUUUCACCUCACCUGACUACAGUAUAUAAGCCACUUUUAUGGCCCUAUGCUGUACUUUCUACAAGAUUGAUGGACUGACCACAUCAACUCCAGGCUGAGGGACUGAUUACCUCAAACUUCUCCUCUCCCUACACCUUUCUGGUUUGUACUGGACUGAUGAAGCCACUGUGUGGCAAAAUGCUUCUUCAAUAAAGAUUCCCUUAUGUUGCAUAA